GUCGGCUGAUGGUUCCGUAACACAUCAGCAGUCACCUGAGUCAGAACCGUGAGCUGAUGAUGGGCCUUCCGUUUGGUCUGCACAGUGUUUUGUUUUCUUCAGGUGUUGUCAUCUUCUCCCACACUAAAACGCUCUCAUCUCCUAGACAUGAAUGUUUAAUUGCACCCCAGCAUGACAUUUGACCUGUGCUUAGCAGGCGGUUUUGAGGCCCUGGCUUAUUAAUGCACGGAAGCACAGCACAUAAGCCGACACUUAUGUCCUAAUUAGCAAGAAUCCGGCUGUAUCUCUGUAGUCCCUGCAUCUACUCUGGUCACCAUCUCUGUAUGCUGAGGGCAGCCAUGUGAACAUUAUUAAUUAUUGUACACUCCAAUCAAUAGUUAUUAUGUAGGCAGAAGUAGUGGCCUUGUUUGUUUCUUGUGCUGCUGCUCCCCUUGCCGCUGUCCCCUACACCCUCCUGAUCAGGUGUACAUCCAUGGUGCCUCAUGGUUCAGUCACUGAUGAGUAAUGAAAAUGGGAAGAAAGAGUUUGAUAUUAGCCACUAUCGAAGCAUAUGAAGAAGCAUCUCAGCUGCUUGCAUUGAAAAAUUCCUAGCCAGUGUGUGGGCUUUUCUUAUCACUGCUGCUUAUCAGCAUGUCAAAAGUUGAAUCUUCGGACUGCAAGUCUUGCUGGCCUUAGACAUAAUGGCCUUACUGCAUGUGGAGCUAACCCCAGGAAGAUGGAGUGACAGUCUCUGGAGGAUUAGGUGGUCUCCUCCAAUGUGGCUUGAUGGGCUCCUGAACUCUUUCCUGUAACUAUACAGAGAGUCUACACUGCCAGCGAUCGUGUGCCUCAACUCUGUAGAUGUAGAAAUUAAAAAUAUUCAAAAUAUUCUGAAACAGUUUCCAUUGAAAGGAAAGAGAAAAGCAGUCAGGUGCCACGCUCUGGUCAAGAGAACUAGUAGAUGGCUCACAAGAACACUCUGUCGCUACUGUCUGUGCCUCUGUCACAACAAAUAUCCUGAUCCUUCAGUUUGAAGGGUGCAGGGCCAUUUUCCUCCCUUUCCUACUGGUAGUUCUCAAGAUAACUGUAUGAUAUGCUGGGAAUGCAAUAUCCUGAUAAUCAGGUGACAUUGGUCAGAACAGCCCAGGCUCUGUUAGAGUCCCUGCUCGAAACAGAACGGCCUUUAACGCUUGUGUCCAGCAAACCACAUCGUAGGAGAAAACCCAAGAUGAGCUGCUUUCUGGGGUCCCUCAGUUGUAGUGCAAGUGAAGCAUUUACAGUCAAAACUCCAUCCAUCUGCUCUGGAUAGCCUUCCUGAUCUUGUGGUAGCGGUUCAUAUUGAAUCCUGGACUUCUGUUGUCUUUUGUUUGCUAUUUGUAAGUAAUAAAUUCACUUCAUGGAAUUUAUGUAUGAAUGUGUUUGGUCUCAUUGUACUCAGAAAAGUUGGUAGCCAUUGCACAGUGAACCCGCUUCAUAAUUGGUGAAAACACCUAUGGCCCCCUUGUGCCACAGCAAGGAGGUUAAUUCAGCCAAACAUAAACUUCAUGUUCGAAAAACCCUGUAGCACAAUUAUUACCAUGUGGGAGGCCUUUAACAAUGGUGAUGCUGAUUUGAAGAACUCUGAAAGAAGAAAUUUACACAAAUGGAUUGGGUACACAGGAGUCCCUCCUAACUUAAAGCAAACCUUGCUCCCCUCUGCCUAAAAAGAGUGGAGAGGCCAAGCACGGUGGCUCAGGCCUGUAAUCCGAGUACUCUGGGAGGCUGAGGGGGGCAGAUCACAAGGUCAGGGGUUCAAGACCAGCCUGACCAACAUGGGGAAGCCACAUCUCUAUUAAAAAUACAAAAAGUAGCCACGCAUGGUGGUGGGCACCUGUAAUCCCAGUCACUUGGGAGGCUGAUGCAGGAGAAUUGCUGGAACUUGGGAGGCGGAGGUUGAAGUGAGUCAAGACCAUGCACUGCACUCCAGUCUGGGUGAGAGGGCAAGACUCCGUCUCAGG
This 1976-nucleotide long non-coding RNA is filed under the name Macaca fascicularis (crab-eating macaque). Its description in RNAcentral is "lncRNA (ENSMFAG00000057230.1)". The record is from RNAcentral. Lineage: Eukaryota; Metazoa; Chordata; Mammalia; Primates; Cercopithecidae.